Molecule: ribosomal RNA, 301 nt
Filed under: uncultured Desulfovibrio sp.
Lineage: Bacteria; Pseudomonadati; Thermodesulfobacteriota; Desulfovibrionia; Desulfovibrionales; Desulfovibrionaceae
Description: bacterial SSU rRNA
Rfam family: Bacterial small subunit ribosomal RNA
Source: RNAcentral
CUCUACUCGCGAGCGAGAUGCUGCGUGAGUACGGUUGGUUCAGUGGUUAAUCUGAAUGACUGUGCGUAAAUCGCACGCAGGCGGUUGGAUAAGUUAGAUGUGAAAGCCCCGGGCUCAACCUGGGAAUUGCAUUUAAAACUGUCCAGCUAGAGUCGUGUAGAGGGGAGUAGAAUUCCAGGUGUGGCGGUGAAAUGCGUAGAGAUCUGGAGGAAUACCGGUGGCGAAGGCGGCCCCCUGGACAAAGACUGACGCUCAGGUGCGAAAGCGUGGGGAGCAAACAGGAUUAGAUACCCUUGUAGUC